GACGAACGCUGGCGGCGUGCCUAAUACAUGCAAGUAGAACGCACAGUUUAUACCGUAGCUUGCUACACCAUAGACUGUGAGUUGCGAACGGGUGAGUAACGCGUAGGUAACCUGCCUGGUAGCGGGGGAUAACUAUUGGAAACGAUAGCUAAUACCGCAUAAUAUUUAUUAUUGCAUGAUAAUUAAUUGAAAGGUGCAAUUGCACCACUACCAGAUGGACCUGCGUUGUAUUAGCUAGUAGGUGAGGUAACGGCUCACCUAGGCGACGAUACAUAGCCGACCUGAGAGGGUGAUCGGCCACACUGGGACGGAGACACGGCCCAGACUCCUACGGGAGGCAGCAGUAGGGAAUCUUCGGCAAUGGACGAAAGUCUGACCGAGCAACGCCGCGUGAGUGAAGAAGGGUUUCGGAUCGUAAAGCUCUGUUGUAAGAGAAGAACGGGUGUGAGAGUGGAAAGUUCACACUGUGACGGUAUCUUACCAGAAAGGGACGGCUAACUACGUG
RNAcentral lists this ribosomal RNA (505 nucleotides) under uncultured bacterium. Its description in RNAcentral is "partial 16S ribosomal RNA". It matches the Rfam family "Bacterial small subunit ribosomal RNA", at positions 28 to 507 of the family's 1533-position model. The record is from RNAcentral.